GGAGGGCGCAAGCGUUGUUCGGAAUCAUUGGGCGUAAAGAGCGUGUAGGCGGUCAGGCAAGUCGGGUGUGAAAUCCCGGGGCUCAACCCCGGAACUGCACUCGAAACUGCCUGGCUAGAGUCCCGGAGAGGGUGGCGGAAUUCCCGGUGUAGAGGUGAAAUUCGUAGAUAUCGGGAGGAACACCAGUGGCGAAGGCGGCCACCUGGACGGUGACUGACGCUGAGACGCGAAAGCGUGGGGAGCAAACAGGAUUAGAUACCCUGGUAGUCCACGCCGUAAACGUUGGGUGCUAGGCGUCGCGGGUAUUGACCCCCCUGCGGUGCCGCCGUUAACGCAUUAAGCACCCCGCCUGCGGAGUACGGUCGCAAGGCUA
This 373-nucleotide ribosomal RNA is filed under the name uncultured organism. RNAcentral describes it as "partial 16S ribosomal RNA". It matches the Rfam family "Bacterial small subunit ribosomal RNA", at positions 527 to 896 of the family's 1533-position model. The record is from RNAcentral.